GACGAACGCUGGCGGCGUGCUUAACACAUGCAAGUCGAGCGAGGCCCCUCCUUCGGGAGGGUGUCCUAGCGGCGAACGGGUGAGUAACACGUGGGCAACCUGCCCUCAGCUCUGGGAUAACUCCGGGAAACCGGGGCUAAUACCGGAUACGACCUCCACGGGCAUCUGCGGAGGUGGAAAGUUUUUCGGCUGAGGAUGGGCCCGCGGCCUAUCAGCUAGUUGGUGGGGUAGUGGCCCACCAAGGCGACGACGGGUAGCCGGCCUGAGAGGGCGACCGGCCACACUGGGACUGAGACACGGCCCAGACUCCUACGGGAGGCAGCAGUGGGGAACAUUGCGCAAUGGGCGAAAGCCUGACGCAGCGACGCCGCGUGAGGGACGAAGGCCUUCGGGUUGUAAACCUCUUUCAGCAGGGACGAAGCGAAAGUGACGGUACCUGCAGAAGAAGCACCGGCCAACUACGUG
This 465-nucleotide ribosomal RNA is filed under the name uncultured bacterium. RNAcentral describes it as "partial 16S ribosomal RNA". It matches the Rfam family "Bacterial small subunit ribosomal RNA", at positions 28 to 507 of the family's 1533-position model. The record is from RNAcentral.